RNAcentral lists this ribosomal RNA (497 nucleotides) under uncultured bacterium. Its description in RNAcentral is "partial 16S ribosomal RNA". It matches the Rfam family "Bacterial small subunit ribosomal RNA", at positions 28 to 507 of the family's 1533-position model. The record is from RNAcentral.
GACGAACGCUGGCGGCGUGCCUAAUACAUGCAAGUUGAGCGCUGAAGGUUGGUACUUGUACCGACUGGAUGAGCAGCGAACGGGUGAGUAACGCGUGGGGAAUCUGCCUUUGAGCGGGGGACAACAUUUGGAAACGAAUGCUAAUACCGCAUAAAAACUUUAAACACAAGUUUUAAGUUUGAAAGAUGCAAUUGCAUCACUCAAAGAUGAUCCCGCGUUGUAUUAGCUAGUUGGUGAGGUAAAGGCUCACCAAGGCGAUGAUACAUAGCCGACCUGAGAGGGUGAUCGGCCACAGUGGGACUGAGACACGGCCCAAACUCCUACGGGAGGCAGCAGUAGGGAAUCUUCGGCAAUGGACGAAAGUCUGACCGAGCAACGCCGCGUGAGUGAAGAAGGGUUUCGGAUCGUAAAACUCUGUUGGUAGAGAAGAACGUUGGUGAGAGUGGAAAGCUCAUCAAGUGACGGUAACUACCCAGAAAGGGACGGCUAGCUACGUG